Phascolarctos cinereus (koala) is the source of this 1565-nucleotide long non-coding RNA. RefSeq lists it as uncharacterized. NCBI's taxonomy places the organism in Eukaryota, Metazoa, Chordata, Mammalia, Diprotodontia, Phascolarctidae. The record is from RefSeq and is a predicted model, not a curated record.
GUGCGGAGUGAUGUAGUUGCCACUUAGGGAAUCCUGGAUCCUGUCUCCCGUAAUCCUUUAGCAAUGGCCUUGGCUAGCGCCGCUCUCUCGGCAGAAGCCAGGUACUUCUGGCGCAGGAAGCGCCGCUCGAGCUCCAGCACCUGUGCCCGGGAAAAGGAUGUGCGCGGCUUCUUUCGCUUAGGCGGCGUCCGGUUCUGUAGUAUUCUUUGACCGAAGGAGAAAAUGAAUCCCAGAGGCAGGGGAAGAAGACAAACGAAAAACGCUGGAAUCAACUGCUCUUCCCCAGGAUCGUGUUCUGACCCGUAGGGCAGACCCGGUGGAGAAGAGGGUGGUGAGGCUCAGAUUACACCAAGUUCCCAUAUGCCCAUAGCCCCCGGCGGUUACGGGUAUUUUGGAACUCCUAACUGCACCCUUUCCCUAAGAUUUCCCCCAUCUCUAUGUAUAUAGUCCUGGUGGCUGCUUUCAAAUUACUCUGCGUCUCUAAAGCAUUUUUGGAUUCCUUCUAAUUAUCUUGGCCUAGGUCCUGAGAUUAAAGAAAAGUGAAGGCAGGUUUAGUGGGAGUUGGGGAGGGGUGGAGAUUAGAAGGUUAAUAAAAUGUAGAUAUCCAGCCGGGAGGAAUUGAGACCUCAAGAAUGAUAAUCUGGGGAUAGAGAUGAGGGAUACAGGGAGGCAGGUUCUAGUCAGGAGGUCUAGGGAAAGCUAAUGUUUGGGGGGGCAAGAAAAGAUAUCUUUAGAUGUGUCCUAAAAUUAAUUGUCCAGAAAGUGUGGGGGAGUUAAAUUUGGGAGGAAAGAAUGGAUUAAGGGUGGGAUAUGUGGGGAAAGUGGUCUAGUGGUAUAGGAUUUUAGGAUUAGAUGGGGGAGGGGAGUGGGGAUUCAGGAAUGAAAAUCGAAUGGCCAAAUUGGAGGAAAGAAUUCCUCACGAAUUUCCUAGGAAAUUAGAGUAUUUAGUAUUGGAGAAAUAGGGAGGACAACAGAAUUUUAUAGAAAUACUCAUCUUGGAAAGAGGGGUUUUUAUUGGGUUAUCCUGGAUUUGGAGAUUUAAAAAAGAAGUGUGUGCCCAGGGGUGAUGUUUCCAGAGCCCAGGAAUACUAAUGGGGGAGGGGAGUCAAGGAUUUCCCAAGGAAAUCCUGCAAUUGAGAAAAGGUAGGGAGGCAGUGGGUUUACACAUAAAAGUGAAAUUGGGAUACUGGAGGCUUGGAAAUGUUAGUUUGGGCAGGUCAAUUUGUGCUGUGAGGGUUUUGCUGAUCCAAUACUGGGGGAGACAGGAGAGGGGAGAGAGAGAAAGAGAGUUUGCUGAGAUGGUUCCUGAGGCCGUCCUAGAUUGGUGAGGAAGGUUGGAUUAGGAAAUUGAGGAUUCAAUACUAAAGAAGAGUUUCAAAGUAUCUAGUGGUGGGGCUGAUGCACUAGUGGUGGGGAAGGAAGCUUGAGUGAAGCAGGAUGGGGCUGAAGGUGAAGAAAGCCUGCCCCACCCCACCCCCUCACCUGUGAGCCGGUCCUUGGCAAAACGGCGGCUGCUGUCCAUCCAGGGGAAGGUAAGGCCUGAUAGGCCGCUUCCAGCGCCUAGC